AUACGUAGGUGGCAAGCGUUGUCCGGAAUUAUUGGGCGUAAAGCGCGCGCAGGUGGUUCCUUAAGUCUGAUGUGAAAGCCCCCGGCUCAACCGGGGAGGGUCAUUGGAAACUGGGGAACUUGAGUGCAGAAGAGGAUAGUGGAAUUCCAAGUGGAGCGGUGAAAUGCGUAGAGAUUUGGAGGAACCCCAGUGGCGAAGGCGACUGUCUGGUCUGUAACUGACACUGAGGCGCGAAAGCGUGGGGAGCAAACAGGAUUAGAUACCCUGGUAGUCCACGCCGUAAACGAUGAGUGCUAAGUGUUGGGGGGUUUCCGCCCCUCAGUGCUGCAGCUAACGCAUUAAGCACUCCGCCUGGGGAGUACGGCCGCAAGGUUAAAACUCAAAUGAAUUGACGGGG
RNAcentral lists this ribosomal RNA (397 nucleotides) under uncultured bacterium. RNAcentral's name for it is "partial 16S ribosomal RNA". It matches the Rfam family "Bacterial small subunit ribosomal RNA", at positions 523 to 918 of the family's 1533-position model. The record is from RNAcentral.